UAGGGAAUCUUCCGCAAUGGGCGAAAGCUUGACGGAGCAACGCCGCGUGAGUGAUGAAGGUCUUCGGAUCGUAAAACUCUGUUAUUAGGGAAGAACAAAUGUGUAAGUAACUAUGCACGUCUUGACGGUACCUAAUCAGAAAGCCACGGCUAACUACGUGCCAGCAGCCGCGGUAAUACGUAGGUGGCAAGCGUUAUCCGGAAUUAUUGGGCGUAAAGCGCGCGUAGGCGGUUUUUUAAGUCUGAUGUGAAAGCCCACGGCUCAACCGUGGAGGGUCAUUGGAAACUGGAAAACUUGAGUGCAGAAGAGGAAAGUGGAAUUCCAUGUGUAGCGGUGAGAUGCGCAGAGAUAUGGAGGAACACCAGUGGCGAAGGCGACUUUCUGGUCUGUAACUGACGCUGAUGUGCGAAAGCGUGGGGAUCAAACAGG
Molecule: ribosomal RNA, 429 nt
Filed under: Actinomycetes bacterium
Lineage: Bacteria; Bacillati; Actinomycetota; Actinomycetes
Description: Actinobacteria bacterium partial 16S ribosomal RNA
Rfam family: Bacterial small subunit ribosomal RNA
Source: RNAcentral